Molecule: long non-coding RNA, 1672 nt
Organism: Folsomia candida
Lineage: Eukaryota; Metazoa; Arthropoda; Collembola; Entomobryomorpha; Isotomidae
Exons: 4
Source: RefSeq, a predicted model, not a curated record
UCAUGGCUGUAAAAGAUUUGUUCACCAAGUGACAGGAUUACGACAAGAAGACGAGAAGAACCCUGAACAUGAAUUCGUGGACGCUUCUCUGUUCUCAAGAGCGCUGUUCUGGGUCAGCCCAGUCCUCAAUUUCCACACCCUCCUUUUUGGCAUCGCUUUUGGACUCAUCCCGCUAGCCGCGCUGUGGGUGUUGUGGCUUUAUCCUCCUGGAAAGUACUACUUCAAGGCACCCCCUCCUCCCGACUACGUGGGUCACACCGUCAUGAACAUCACCGCCAGGGAGAGAGGCGAGGCUGAUGCAUUUUUGUGGUGAAGCCAAGCAUACGUUAAAAGUGACGAAGAAUACACGAAAUAAUAAUGUGCGACGCAAUUUGUAAUGUUUAACAGAAGCAAAUGUGAAUUAUUUACAGACAACAAAUUCCAGCCAAGAUUAUGAUGUGUAUGUAUGUCAAAUAAAUCACUCUAUAAAGUCAGAACGAAUAUGUAAGUGUGUCGUAAAUAAUAUUGAACUCUAGCUUCUUAUUACAGACUGUAAUUUACAGUACAUUGUACAAGAUAUAUUAAAUAUGUGAGUAAUUGAAUUUCCAUUGCAUGCAUGCAUACAUUUUAUUUACUCGUAAAAGAUUGUUUACAUAUUUGAAACGCUAUUAUUCUGACCCAGCAGCAGCUUUGUGAGUAAUAAAAAGUCGGUCCUGCGUCGUGUCAAGGAAUGAACUAGAACUUCCACACGGCCCUUUAAGACAGACACCCAGUCGACGUCGCUGAUUGGUCACUCGGAGGCAAAAACCGUGUGCAAAUUUCGAUUCCAGGCGGUUUUUGCAGACGAAACCUUACUUCCAAGUGCGGAUUGUAACAUGGGUGCACACGGCACCUUCGUCACAUCCACUUUUAAAGGAGCAUUGUACAGCAUUGAGCUCAAUUGCGAAUUCACAUUCAAUUCAACAUCAACUCCACAUAGAUAUUUACAUACGUCGUUGAUCCUAUCGCAUUGUCUCAAUUUGCAUAGCUUGGGUAUCCGUAUUCUACAAGAGGUCAAAAAUCUUGCAUUGUUGUAACUUUAGCUGGGCGUGUUUUACUUCGUGUAAUAUUCAAAAACGUACUCGUCACUACUCUGCCUACAAAAAGUACCUCAGCUCUUGAUUUUAAUCAAACCGAUCUAAAGAAAAUUGACAGAAACAUGCCGUUAGCUGCCAAGGAUUGCGGUUGCAAAAGCGGAGGGGUGUGUUCUUGCGGGGAUAACUGUGCGUGUUCCACCCCCUGCAAAUGCAAGUCGGGAGGAGAUUGUACCUGCGGCCCGGAUUGUAAGUGCUCUGAAGUUGGAUCUGUUGUUGCUGGUGGGUGUGGUUGCAAAACGGGUGGGACGUGCUCUUGCGGCGAUAAUUGUAAAUGCGCCCCUGCUAAAGUCGAAGGAUGUGCUUGUCAAUCAGGAGGAACGUGCACCUGCACCGACUGCAAGUGUACAGCGUCGAAAUCUGCAUGUUGUCAAGGGGGAAAGUGCUGCUAAAUACAGAAAUCACUCACUCACGGUACGAUGAUGAUGGAACAUUUUAUUAUUUUUGCAAACUUUGUAUUCAGUACUGCACCCAGUGCAGUUUAGUAAUAAUUUUGAUUAGUAAUGCUUAUUCAUGAUUGAAGAUCUAUGGGAAAUAAAAAUGGUACAUAAAAAGAUGAA